CGUUUCCUAUGCAGGCUGAGGCUCCGAAGGCUGCUAAGCUCCUUUCCCUGCUAAGGGGAGGUCCUCAUUUAUGCCAUUGCCCAGGUUUCCUUUGCAUGUGACUUAUCACACGGUGCUCUGGAGCCCUGUCCUUGGAGACUCACACCCCUGUGACCAGGAUGGGGUCAGGGCUGUGCUUAAUCAGGUGACUGUCCAAGGAGCCCCCUUCCACCUCCAGAGUUCAGAACUCAGUGUCUUACCUUCCUCCCAGGAACCAGAGCACACUGAACACGCAGGGCCUGGCAGGGCACCUGACGGCCAACAUGUUGGGGGGCAUUGGAGCACACAAAUCAACACUCCAGGGGCAGGAGUGGUUGUCACUUGAGUUGCAAAAUCUAGGGACCCUAAAAGAGUCCCUGUGAGGCCUGGCUCCUUGGUGUGCUGAGCAACUGACCCAUCCCCCACACUCUCCUACCCAAAGAGGCCUCUGGAGCCUUCCUACGGCCAAGGGACCUGGCCAGCCGCACAGGCUGAGGACAGAGCGAGCUCGGCCAGGGCUCCGUGAACAGCUGUCCUUCUGUGGCCAUCAUCACAGCAGCAGCAAAGACUCAGUUCCUGAGCAAGAAACCACAGGCACAGCAAGUGCCAUGAAAAGCGGCUUUGUGUGGGGUGGGCUCUUCACACUCCAAUCUCCACUUCCUUCUCAAGCCCUGCUGUGUUGAGCUGGGCUCUGGCGUUGCCAUGGACCCAGGGCAAACAGCGGUGCUCCUGCUCUGCCCCCGGCUCAGCUCAUGCUGGGCCUGCACUUCUGGAAGGGAGCAUGGACUUUGGAAUGACUGGUUAGAACCCAAAUGAAUUAAUGGAAUUUGACAUAGUUCAAAAAUAAUAAAAUGUGAUACCCAU
This 882-nucleotide long non-coding RNA is filed under the name Homo sapiens (human). Its description in RNAcentral is "HSALNT0274864". The record is from RNAcentral. Lineage: Eukaryota; Metazoa; Chordata; Mammalia; Primates; Hominidae.